This is a long non-coding RNA of Spinacia oleracea (spinach), 429 nucleotides long. RefSeq lists it as uncharacterized. The transcript is spliced from 3 exons. The record is from RefSeq and is a predicted model, not a curated record. NCBI's taxonomy places the organism in Eukaryota, Viridiplantae, Streptophyta, Magnoliopsida, Caryophyllales, Amaranthaceae.
CAGAGUACAAAUAGACAUUCCCAUAUCCAAAUAGAAUGACCAAAAUUACGCAAAACAUGAGGAACAAAUAUCAAGUUUUGUUAUUUCUUUUUCUGCAAACAAUUUUAAUCUUAAAUUGGAGUACCAAUACUUUGGGACAUCGUCACAAAAAUGGGAAUGGUCAUGGUCAUGGUGAUGGUGUGCAACCACUCUCCCAGAUUAAUAUUCUCAAGUACUAAUUUGCCAUUCACAACAAGGCUUCCGUUCGUGUUUCGACCAUUCUGCUGCCUACCGAGGAAAAUGAAGACUCUACUAUACUUGGUACAAGUAGGUCAAUGAUUCAAGACAUACAGGGAAAUGAGUCAAAUGACUAUGUCCGCCCGGUAACAGUUACUCUGAUGUCUGACAAUCCAUCGUCUGAUGAUUGGGUCGGAGUCUUCUCCCCUGCAA